GUGCCUGGUGAGGAGCCGAAAGGUCUUCGGAAGGCCGGGAUGUAGGGUUCGGCGCCGUUGUUGACGUUGUUGGGGGUUCCUCGGACUUGCAGUUAUGUCUUAAUACCUGGGUGAUGAUGAUGUGGCCGCUCCGUGUUCCUGAGCGCACGCAGAAGUUGUCUUGGCCCACUAAGAAAAACAUUAACAGACGAGACCACCCAACCGGAAAGAAUCUUCUCUGGAAUUCGUCAGAUGAAACCUCCCGCACAGUAACUCAAAAGGUCCAAAAUCCAGAUUAUCAGCUCUUGAGUACUGACAGAAAGCUCACUGCUUUACAG
Molecule: long non-coding RNA, 317 nt
Organism: Mustela erminea (ermine)
Lineage: Eukaryota; Metazoa; Chordata; Mammalia; Carnivora; Mustelidae
Exons: 3
Source: RefSeq, a predicted model, not a curated record